RNAcentral lists this ribosomal RNA (495 nucleotides) under uncultured bacterium. RNAcentral's name for it is "bacterial SSU rRNA". It matches the Rfam family "Bacterial small subunit ribosomal RNA", at positions 28 to 509 of the family's 1533-position model. The record is from RNAcentral.
GAUGAACGCUAGCGACAGGCUUAACACAUGCAAGUCGAGGGGCAGCAUGAUUUGUAGCAAUACAGAUUGAUGGCGACCGGCGCACGGGUGAGUAACGCGUAUGCAACUUACCUAUCAGAGGGGGAUAGCCCGGCGAAAGUCGGAUUAAUACCCCAUAAAACAGGGGUCCCGCAUGGGAAUAUUUGUUAAAGAUUCAUCGCUGAUAGAUAGGCAUGCGUUCCAUUAGGCAGUUGGCGGGGUAACGGCCCACCAAACCGACGAUGGAUAGGGGUUCUGAGAGGAAGGUCCCCCACAUUGGUACUGAGACACGGACCAAACUCCUACGGGAGGCAGCAGUGAGGAAUAUUGGUCAAUGGCCGAGAGGCUGAACCAGCCAAGUCGCGUGAAGGAAGAAGGAUCGUAUGGUUUGUAAAACUUCUUUUAUAGGGGAAUAAAGUGGAGGACGUGUCCUUUUUUGUAUGUACCCUAUGAAUAAGCAUCGGCUAACUCCGUGCC